CCUACGGGAGGCAGCAGUAGGGAAUAUUGCUCAAUGGGGGCAACCCUGAAGCAGCAACGCCGCGUGGAGGAUGAAGGUUUUCGGAUUGUAAACUUCUUUUGUUAGAGAAGAUAAUGACGGUAUCUAACGAAUAAGCACCGGCUAACUCCGUGCCAGCAGCCGCGGUAAUACGGCGGGUGCAAGCGUUAGUCGGAAUCACUGGGCGUAAAGAGCGCGUAGGCGGGAUAGCAAGUCAGAUGUGAAAUCCUCUGGCUUAACCAUAGAACUGCAUUGGAGACUGUUAUUCUAGAGUAUGGGAGGGGUAGGCGGAAUUCUUGGUGUAGGGGUAAAAUCAGGAGAUAUUAAGAGGAACACUCAUGGCGAAGGCGACUUACUAGAACAUAACUGACGCGGAGGCGCGAAAGCGUGGGGAGCAAACAGGAUUAGAUACCCCAGUAGUC
Molecule: ribosomal RNA, 440 nt
Filed under: uncultured bacterium
Lineage: Bacteria
Description: partial 16S ribosomal RNA
Rfam family: Bacterial small subunit ribosomal RNA
Source: RNAcentral